AACGCACCUUGCGCUCCUUGGUAUUCCGAGGAGCAUGCCUGUUUGAGUGUCAUGGAAUUCUCAACUUCAUUUGCUUUUGUGAAUGAAGCUUGGACUUGGAGGUAUUGCUGGCCGUACGGUCGGCUCCUCUUGAAUUUAUUAGCUCGAGCCUUUGUGGAUCAGCUUCGGUGUGAUAAUUGUCUACGCCGUUCUGUGAAGCAUAACUAUGGGAUUCGGCUUCCAAUAGUCCUUCACUGGACAAUAUCUUUGACCUUUGACCUCAAAUCAGGUAGGAUUACCCGCUGAACUUAA
Molecule: unclassified non-coding RNA, 291 nt
Filed under: uncultured fungus
Lineage: Eukaryota; Fungi
Also listed under: 1 other name
Description: partial contains 5.8S ribosomal RNA, internal transcribed spacer 2, and large subunit ribosomal RNA
Rfam family: 5.8S ribosomal RNA (bases 1-52)
Source: RNAcentral